Felis catus (domestic cat) is the source of this 4197-nucleotide RNA transcript. It is a transcript of the gene named outer dense fiber of sperm tails 4, with no coding region annotated. The record is from RefSeq and is a predicted model, not a curated record. The transcript has 5 exons. NCBI's taxonomy places the organism in Eukaryota, Metazoa, Chordata, Mammalia, Carnivora, Felidae.
UAUCGGAAAGUUCCAUGGCAGUUAGGGGCCCGGUCCUACUGAAUAGGUUGUUUCUUUCCCAGACCCCAGGCCCUGUGGUGGCAAGGACUCUGCCUGCUACAAAUAUUUAAAGGAUGAGGGGCCACUGAGCCCAGCAAGGGAAGGUGGAGAUGGGGUGGAGGUUAGGAGGAGAGACAGGGAAUGCUCAAGAUGGGGGCAGGGGCCUUUAGGGCGAUGAGCAUCCAAACCCUGGCGAGGGAAGGGGGGGCUGGGAAGCAGGACGGGGCGGAGGGGAGCCUGGCCCAAGAAGAGAGCUGGCCGGCCGACCCCAGCGGUGACAGGCAGGUGCCCGGGGAGCACCCCUCAGAGCCCCGGAGAAUCUCCGUGCUGCCCCUGUGGUGGAGGAUGACGCACAGCUCCCGCUGGGUAGCACGGGUGCUGGCCUCGGAGCUCAGCCUCGUCGCCUUCAUCCUGCUGCUGGCCAUGGUGUUCUCCAAGAAGUGGCUGUGCCUCUCCGGGAGCCGCGUCUACCAGCGCUGGCCCACCAACGUCAGCGCGAGAAUCUACACGUCGGCUCGUCUCAUGUCCAUGGGGCUCCUGUACAUCUGCAAAUCCAAGAGCUGCUCCAGCUCCGAAAACGGGAAAGAUAGUUUUAAGCUGUGGGAAAAUCACCCGGUCUUCGGGGUGGCCCGGAUAACCUUCUGCCUGACCCUGGGGCUGGGCUUUGUCUUCACCGUCUGGUUGCACUUGCCGUAUCUACCUGGUCUGAAGAGACUGCCCUUCUUUGGCUGGAUCGGGACCAUCCUGAGCUUCUUUGAAGUUACCUUUAUCUUCUCCACCCUCCUGCUGUUCCCUAUUAACCUCUGGAUCUUUGAGUUGAAGAGGAAUUUAUCUGUCCCCAUCGGCUGGAGCUAUUUCAUAGGCUGGCUGGUGUUUGUCCUGUAUGUCACCUGCGCGGCCCUCUGCCACUUCAACCACAAACACUUCUGGAGCGUGAUUAUGAACUGUCCCAGCCGGGCCGCGUCCUGCAGCGAUGGUUCCAGCUCAGUACAGAACUUUCCGAGUGAGCCGGGGGGCUCACACGCCUCGGUCAAGCAGGAGGAGGCCCUGGAUCCGGAGCGAAAGAAGGCAUCUCCGUAACCUUUUCCGAAAUCCUGGCGCCAACUUCGGCCGCCCCUCGUCCGACUCCCUCUCCUCAUCCUUUCUCGAAGCCCUGGGGAGUGAACGACUCAAGAGCAAACUGGCCACAAGGUGAGAGGCAGGUUACCUGGGCCAGGGUACCACCGGCACCAACUCCAACUCCAAUUCCACCCCGACCUCCGUCCACACCUUCUCCUCCGCCACUCCAUCACCACCGCUCUCAACUCCACCAGUUCUGACGCCCCUCUGGGCUGCUCCUGCUCUCCGACCAAGCUUCCCGUGUGACGGCAGGAAUAAAACCGUGAGAGUCAGGCCCUACGACCGAGAGACAGAGUGCCCUUUGGGAUCACGAACUUCGUCUAGCCUCACGAACACGUGCGGCACCUGCCUGGGGCAGCACCGGCCAUGACCCCUGGGAUUCAGACAUCCCGCACGGAGAGGCUGGUCUCCCAGGAGAGCCGCUGUGGCCGAUCUGUCGAAUCCUUCCAGAUGGAGCCGCCAUGCCGGCCAGCUAGAGGAGAGAAGGCACAAAAUCCGAGUGGGGUGGGUAGAUGAAAGCUGUAUGUCUCAGCGGGUCGAGCCGUCCGAUACUGCCGUUUCCGCAGUUAAAUGCUGCCAAUUUCAUAAGGUUCAACCUAAUACGUCUGACUGGUUUCUAUUUGAUUUUUUUUUUUUUUUUGGCUCUUUUGAGAUUCUUGUCCCUAACCAUACCUGACGAGCGGUGUGCAGCUUCUUGGCUCCAGGCAAACAGUCUGCGCAAAGAAUACGUGGGCUUGAAAUCUGGGCCGAGCAGCACCCCACAAAUCCAGACUCAUCGUCUCCCUCGUGCUUCUUCCCCCGGUAGCCAGGAUUUAUUGAUUUGGUCAUCCUUGGGGAAGAAACAACAAGCAAAUGUAGGUCAUGAUCGGAGAAAGGGAUUUGGUAAUUUGAAAGAAGUCAUAAACUCAAAUGCCUACAGGGAUGAGACUAUCUGCCUCCUACAUAAAUAAAGGGGGCUAUGCUUCCAGUCUAUAAUUUUCCUCUUUUGGUAAAGACCUAAUAUAAUCUUUUGCUGGAUAACAAAUUACCCCAAACUUGGUGGCUUAAAAUAAUAAACAUUAUCUCACGUGGUUUCCGGGAUCAGGAAUCUGGGAGCAGCUUAGCUGAAUGGUUCUUGCUCAGGGUCUCUCACGGGGUCAUAGUCAAGAUGUCAGCUGGGGCUGCAGUCAUCUGAAGGCUUGACUGGGGCUGGAGGAUCUACUUCCAGUGUGGUUCACUCGUAUGACUGUCGACGGUUCCUUGCCACAGGGGCCUCUUUCAUGGGCUGCUAGGUUGUCGAGAGCUCGUGUCCCCCAGAGUGAGUGAUCUAAGAAUGAGGAAGGAGGAAGAGGAGGAAGUGUCCGUGCCCUUUAUGACUUAGUCUUGGAAGAAAUACACUGUUACUUUCACCAGAUAAAUCAGCUGAAAUUUCAGAAUUGCACUGUGUUGCAAGGGAGGAACUAAGUCGUCCUCCUCAUGGGGCCUUUAAGGAUUAUUCCAACAAAGCUGUGGAAAUUGCACGCAGAGAGGCAUUUGAAAUUGGAGGAUUCAUUAUAUCCACAGGUCCUAGAAGAGGUCCACAUUCCACAUGGAGGCCACAUGGAAGGCCCAGAGAGCAGGCUCAACCACGCAGAUGGGGAGCUGAGAGAGUGAGGACCCGUGGCCAAGUGCCUUUGUUGGGGUCAAGCAAACGUCUGAGGGAUUUUCAUUGGUGCAUUUGGAUGUCACUAGGUUAUAGUCAGGGGAGGGCCAGAAGAGGAACUUGUGGCAGGAGCCAGCCUUGUCACACUUGGUGCACCUGUCACCUGGUAAGGUGCUCACAGUCUCAUCGUAGAGCUGUUGAGGCAUCCGGCAGAGAUGAAGUUUUAAGCAUUCGUGACACACUGGCCGUCUGUUAUGGGCUGAGUUGUGUCUCCCCCAGAAUUCAUACGUUGGAGCCCUAACCCCCAGUACCUCAGAAUGUAACUAGCUGGAGAUAGGGUCUUACGAGGUGCACAGGAAAGACCAGGCGGGAAGGUGCGCAUCUGCAAGCCACGUAAGAGAGGUCUCAGAAAGAGACCGAACCUAUUACACUUGACCUUGGACUUCCAGCCUCUAGAAUUGGGAGAAAAUAAGUUUCUGUUGUUUAAAGGACCUAGUCUGUGGCGCUUUGUUACGGUUGCCCUAGCAAACAAAUGUGCCGCCUAAAUUAGGUCCAGGUGCAGGUGAGGCUCUUUAGAUGCAAUGCCUUAAAUACAGGGAGUCAAGUGCAGGUCCUCUCAAUCUGAAUACCUGUGAACUAGAGAGACAUGUGACCUCCCCUCACACAGCCAGAAACCAUGGCAGGGCAGUCAAGGGGUAACCCUGACAGACGCUACUGUUUUAAAAGGGGGAUAAUGACAUAUAAUGAACACUGAGUAAUGUAUAGAAUUAUUGAAUCGUUAUGUUGUACACUUGAAACUGAUGUAACACUGUAUGUUCAUCAUACUCCAAAAAGAAAAAAAAGCGGGGAGGGGAAUAUGAAUGAGAGACACAACGGGGAGUCAUUGGUUCAUAGCACUUCUGAAAUCCAGCUGGGAAAAUGUUGAAAUGUCCUUGAUUGAGACUCAGUCCUGGAGCGUCUGGGUGGCUCAGUCGGUUGAGCGGCUGACUUUGGCUCAGGUCAUGGUCUCAUGGUUCAUGGGUUCGAGCCCCAUGUCGGGCUCUGUGCUCACAGAACAGAGAUCCUGUGACUCACUCCCUCUCUGCCUCUCCCUGCUUUUGCUCUGUCUCUCUCUCAUAAAUAUCUGAAAAAACAAAAAAAAAGAUUCAGUCCUAUUUCUCCCCAGCUGCAAGUCUCCAUGGGUUUUUUUUUUUUUUUAGAUGUAACACACAUGCCAUAAAAUUUACCACUUUAAAGUACACAAUUCAGUGGUUUUAGUAUAUUCACAAUGUGCAACCAUCACCACUAUCCCAUUCCAGAACACUCUACGGCUCUAAUUACUCCCCCUUCCCUCCAUCCCCUGGAACUAGUCUACGUUCUGUUUCUCUGCAUUUGCUUAUUCUGGACAUUUCAUAUAAAUGGAAUCAUACAAUACCCAG